Molecule: ribosomal RNA, 460 nt
Filed under: uncultured bacterium
Lineage: Bacteria
Description: partial 16S ribosomal RNA
Rfam family: Bacterial small subunit ribosomal RNA
Source: RNAcentral
CCUACGGGGGGCAGCAGUGAGGAAUAUUGGUCAAUGGACGAGAGUCUGAACCAGCCAAGUAGCGUGAAGGAUGACUGCCCUAUGGGUUGUAAACUUCUUUUAUAUGGGAAUAAAACAGGGUAUGUAUACCCUCUUGUAUGUACCAUAUGAAUAAGGAUCGGCUAACUCCGUGCCAGCAGCCGCGGUAAUACGUAGGAUCCAAGCGUUAUCCGGAUUUCUUGGGUUUAAAGGGAGCGUAGGCGGAUUGUUAAGUCAGUUGUGAAAGUCUGGGGCUCAACCGUAAAAUUGCAUUUGAAACUGGAAGUCUUGAGUGCAGGAGAGGUGAGUGGAAUUCGUGGUGUAGCGGUGAAAUGCGUAGAUAUUACGAGGAACACCAGUUGCGAAGGCGGCUCACUGGACUGCAACUGACGCUGAGGCUCGAAAGUGUGGGGAGCAAACAGGAUUAGAUACCCGUGUAGUC